Molecule: long non-coding RNA, 331 nt
Organism: Lagenorhynchus albirostris (white-beaked dolphin)
Lineage: Eukaryota; Metazoa; Chordata; Mammalia; Artiodactyla; Delphinidae
Exons: 3
Source: RefSeq, a predicted model, not a curated record
GGUGGUGGCAGCUCAGGCGCUCCGAGGAAUCACUGUGUGCCCAUUACUUGUGCAAACUGUGGACGAAUCAAACAGCAAAGCAUGAACUGAUUGAUUCUUAGAAGGGAAGUUCCUGGAUAAAAAGUUAUUCCAAAUGGUGGGAUUGCAUUUUGAGACUCAAAGGUACACAGACAUGAAGAAAGAAGGCAUGAAGGAACACCGCCUAUGCCCGCAGGCCCCCGUAUCCUGGCCUGGGCGGCCUUGGCUGGCGCUGCCGCCGGGUGAGGCUGGGCCAGCUGGCUGCUUCGGGGACCGCCAGCCCCGCUGGGGCCUCCCGGCGUUGCCUGGAAAC